This 253-nucleotide ribosomal RNA is filed under the name uncultured bacterium. RNAcentral's name for it is "partial 16S ribosomal RNA". It matches the Rfam family "Bacterial small subunit ribosomal RNA", at positions 524 to 776 of the family's 1533-position model. The record is from RNAcentral.
UACGUAGGGGGCUAGCGUUGUCCGGAAUCAUUGGGCGUAAAGGGCGUGUAGGCGGCCCGGUAAGUCCGCUGUGAAAGUCGGGGGCUCAACCCUCGAAUGCCGGUGGAUACUGUCUGGCUCGAGUGCGGAAGAGGCGAGUGGAAUUCCUGGUGUAGCGGUGAAAUGCGCAGAUAUCAGGAGGAACACCAAUUGCGAAGGCAGCUCGCUGGGACGUUACUGACGCUGAGACGCGAAAGCGUGGGGAGCAAACAGG